RNAcentral lists this ribosomal RNA (491 nucleotides) under uncultured bacterium. RNAcentral describes it as "partial 16S ribosomal RNA". It matches the Rfam family "Bacterial small subunit ribosomal RNA", at positions 28 to 507 of the family's 1533-position model. The record is from RNAcentral.
GAUGAACGCUGGCUACAGGCUUAACACAUGCAAGUCGAGGGGAAACGCCGGGGAAGCUUGCUUCCCCGGGCGUCGACCGGCGCACGGGUGAGUAACGCGUAUCCAACCUGCCUCUGACUGAGGGAUAACCCGUCGAAGGUCGGCCUAAUACCUCAUGGCAUCGUCUGCGGGCAUCCAACGACGAUUAAAGAUUUCAUCGGUCAGAGAUGGGGAUGCGUCUGAUUAGCUUGUUGGCGGGGUAACGGCCCACCAAGGCGACGAUCAGUAGGGGUUCUGAGAGGAAGGUCCCCCACAUUGGAACUGAGACACGGUCCAAACUCCUACGGGAGGCAGCAGUGAGGAAUAUUGGUCAAUGGGCGAGAGCCUGAACCAGCCAAGUAGCGUGCAGGAUGACGGCCCUAUGGGUUGUAAACUGCUUUUAUGCGGGGAUAAAGUGAGGGACGUGUCCUUCAUUGCAGGUACCGCAUGAAUAAGGACCGGCUAAUUCCGUG